RNAcentral lists this ribosomal RNA (393 nucleotides) under uncultured bacterium. RNAcentral's name for it is "bacterial SSU rRNA". It matches the Rfam family "Bacterial small subunit ribosomal RNA", at positions 29 to 420 of the family's 1533-position model. The record is from RNAcentral.
AUUGAACGCUGGCGGAAUGCUUUACACAUGCAAGUCGAGCGGCAGCGCGGGGGCAACCCUGGCGGCGAGCGGCGAACGGGUGAGUAACAUAUCGGAACGUACCCAGUCGUGGGGGAUAACUAUCCGAAAGGAUAGCUAAUACCGCAUACGUCCUGAGGGAGAAAGCGGGGGAUCGCAAGACCUCGCGCGAAUUGGAGCGGGCCGAUAUCGGGAUUAGCUAGUUGGUGGGGUAAAGGCUCACCAAGGCGACGAUCCGUAGCGGGUCUGAGAGGACGACCCGCCACACUGGAACUGAGACACGGUCCAGACUCCUACGGGAGGCAGCAGUGGGGAAUUUUGGACAAUGGGGGCAACCCUGAUCCAGCCAUUCCGCGUGAGUGAAGAAGGCCUCGG